ACGCUGGCGGAGGCUUAACACAUGCAAGUCGAGCGCCCCGCAAGGGGAGCGGCAGACGGGUGAGUAACGCGUGGGAACGUACCCUUUACUACGGAAUAACCGCAGGGAAACUUGUGCUAAUACCGUAUGUGCCCUUUGGGGGAAAGAUUUAUCGGUAAAGGAUCGGCCCGCGUUGGAUUAGCUAGUUGGUGGGGUAAAGGCCUACCAAGGCGACGAUCCAUAGCUGGUCUGAGAGGAUGAUCAGCCACAUUGGGACUGAGACACGGCCCAAACUCCUACGGGAGGCAGCAGUGGGGAAUAUUGGACAAUGGGCGCAAGCCUGAUCCAGCCAUGCCGCGUGAGUGAUGAAGGCCCUAGGGUUGUAAAGCUCUUUCACCGGAGAAGAUAAUGACGGUAUCCGGAGAAGAAGCCCCGGCUAACUUCGUGCCAGCAGCCGCGGUAAUACGAAGGGGGCUAGCGUUGUUCGGAAUUACUGGGCGUAAAGCGCACGUAGGCGGAUCGAUCAGUCAGGGGUGAAAUCCCAGGGCUCAACCCUGGAACUGCCUUUGAUACUGUCGAUCUGGAGUAUGGAAGAGGUGAGUGGAAUUCCGAGUGUAGAGGUGAAAUUCGUAGAUNUUCGGAGGAACACCAGUGGCGAAGGCGGCUCACUGGUCCAUUACUGACGCUGAGGUGCGAAAGCGUGGGGAGCAAACAGGAUUAGAUNCCCUGGUAGUCCACGCCG
Molecule: ribosomal RNA, 721 nt
Filed under: Rhizobium sp. UFLA02-100
Lineage: Bacteria; Pseudomonadati; Pseudomonadota; Alphaproteobacteria; Hyphomicrobiales; Rhizobiaceae
Description: bacterial SSU rRNA
Rfam family: Bacterial small subunit ribosomal RNA
Source: RNAcentral